RNAcentral lists this long non-coding RNA (1999 nucleotides) under Salvia miltiorrhiza (redroot sage). RNAcentral's name for it is "long non-coding RNA (SMIL_LNC006139)". Lineage: Eukaryota; Viridiplantae; Streptophyta; Magnoliopsida; Lamiales; Lamiaceae. The record is from RNAcentral.
GAGAUCUCUAUACGGCGCCGUUUCUAAGUUCUAAAAUAGUAAAAACUAUCGUGCGUGUUUCCAUUUUCAACCCGAUUUUGUCCUAUUCUUUUGAAAUAAAACCAGUAUACAUUAUUUUAUUGAGUGGAUUUUAAAAAUGGCCACUUUCAUAUUGUAAAAUUAAAAUCUAGCCUAUGAAAUAAAAACAUAAAAAAAUGGCCACUGUUACCAAAAUACCCUUCCACAUUAAAAAUUAAAAAAAUGGCCACUUUACACCACCCCUUUAAAAAAUCCCGCAAUUCACAACCAGUGUGAAUUCACAACCAAAAUUUUUUGGUUGUAGAAAUUCACACUGGUUGUGAAAUUGAGAAUUCACAACCAGUCGAAUUCACAACCAGAAUUUUUUGUUUGUGAAUUCACAACUAGUCGAAUUCACAGCCAAAUUUUAAUUCACAACAAAAAAUUAAUUCACAACUAGAAUUUUUUGGUUGUGAAUUCACAACAAACGAAUUCACAACCAGAUUUAUGUUGGUUGUGAAUUCACAAUCAGUAAAAUUCACAAUCAGAAUUUAAUUCACAACUAGAAUUUAUUUUGGUUGUGAAUUCAAGUAGUUGUGAAUUUGAGUUUUUAAAGUUUGAAUUCACAACUAAAACUAAAAUUUAUUUUGAUUGUGAAUUCGAGUUUUAGUUGUGAAUUAAUAGAUCUGAUUGUGAAUUCAAGAAUAUUAAGUUGUGAAUUCAUAGAUGUGGUCGUGAAUUCAAAAACAUUAAGCUUAUGUGAAUUCAUAAAUUUGGUUGUGAAUUUAAGAACAUUAAAAAAAUAAUUAUACAGCUCAAUCAAAUUGUUGUACAACACCAAAAUACAACAACUCAAUCUACCAUCAAAAUACAUCAAUUCCUCUAAAUCAACAAUCAAAAUACAACAAAAUAUUAUUCGAAUCAAUUCAAUCUACAAUUAAAAUACAACAAUCUCAACAGAUCUUAGAACGAAAAUCAUUAGCAGACAUAUCAGAUCUAAACUUUUUUUCAAGGAAUUAAAACAAAAAUCCCCAAAAUUACUCAGUUAUGGAACUAGGGUUUUUUUGCCUGGGAAAACGCGCCGCCUCUGAGCACGCUGCAUUGGCCUUUCCACGCGCUCGCCGCUCCUCCGCUGGCCACUGCACUGCGCCUUUCGAGCUCGAUGGUCCCCCUGCAGCCGGAUCUCAUUGCCGACAUCAUCCAUCCCGCGGCGGAGCAGCGGUGUUGGCUGAAAUUGAAGGAAGCUGGCGGCGACUGUUGCAGCGUAGAGGGAGAGAGAGAUCGAGCAGUCUGUCGUCGGAGGAGGUGGCGCUACGGAGAUUCGAAGUUGGAGGAGGCGGCGGACGCAAAAUCGAGCUCCAAAAUGUCCAGAUCUGUCGACGGCAACAAGAGAGAAAGCCGACGGCAGCAGCAGCGAGGGGAUCGGCGACGCGGCGUUGGAGGUGGCACGACGGCGGACGAUUUAAAGAGAGAGGGAGAGACCUGGAACCCCGGCGGUGCCAUGACCACAAGCCACCACCGUCGGGAUUAGAUGCGCCGCUAGAAUCUGGAUGGGCGGCGUUGUUUUCGGCGCCGCUAUGGGCGGAGACGACGAGGCUGGGGCGGCGGCGCUUCGCCGGAGGAGAGAAAGAAGGAGGGAGGGAGGUAGGGGAGAGAGAGAGCGCGAGAGAAGUGAGAGAGCGCAGAGAGAGAAAGCGAGAAAUAGCAACUAUUUAAGGAGGGGCAUUUUAGUCUUUUCACCCAAAAACUGGCUAAAAUUUUAUGUUUUUAUCCUAUAGGCUAAAUUUCAAUUUUGCUAUAUGAAAUAGGCUAGUUUCAUAUAUUGACACUAUUUUAUUUAAUCAAAUAUACUUUUUUAUUUUUAUUUUUCGCUCGUAAUUACAUAUCUUUAUGGGUCCAAAUAGAAAUGACCAUUCACAUUUCGGAUAGAAUUUUUGCUCGAUUCGAAUCGAAAAUUCAAAAUUUCCUUAAAAUUCAAUUCAAUUCAAUUGGAUUCGAGCCA